Molecule: long non-coding RNA, 233 nt
Filed under: Gossypium barbadense (sea-island cotton)
Lineage: Eukaryota; Viridiplantae; Streptophyta; Magnoliopsida; Malvales; Malvaceae
Description: long non-coding RNA (GBAR_LNC012808)
Source: RNAcentral
AAAUUGUUGUAGAAUUUCCACAUUGUAAUUUUAAUCUUCUCUAGAAGUUGUAAUGCCCAUAAAUCCGAGAGAAGUUCUUUGCGGAGGUAGUCAUAGGAGUAGACGAAUCUUUUUGUAAUUCUGAAUUUCCUUGUAUAAGUACCUUGUAACCACUCUUCACAGUAUACGCCCCUGAUCCGUCCAGCCUCCAAAUCCUAGAACUCAAGGGCGAAGCCAGAAAAGAAUUUUUGGAG